Long non-coding RNA from Hordeum vulgare subsp. vulgare (domesticated barley), 3757 nucleotides. RefSeq lists it as uncharacterized. Lineage: Eukaryota; Viridiplantae; Streptophyta; Magnoliopsida; Poales; Poaceae. The record is from RefSeq and is a predicted model, not a curated record. The transcript is spliced from 2 exons.
CAGACGGACAUGCACAGCAUUUAUGUAAGGCAUCAUGGUGCUUAGUUGUACAGUGGAAAUUAGUCAUAUUUUGCAACAACAAACCACGGCAAUACAGUCCAAUAGUUGACUCGGUAAUGGGCUGGAGGUGAUGGCUUAAAUGACAAUGGAACAGCUUUACUUAGACCUUUUUCCUAAAGCUUGGCAGGCAUCUGCUGCACUUUGUAUUUAGGAGAUUGUAUUGUGAUUAUUUCCUUUACUAUAGUCAUUGUUGGUUAACCCCAUUCUCCGGAUCGCUGCCAUGGCAGCAUUUUCACAUAGUAACUCAAUAGCGUUCGUUUUUUUCAGAAAUAACGCCCGGUAGACUAUGUUCGUUUUUUCAGAAAUAACGCCCGGUAGGCUAUGUAACGGCCUAGCCGGUAUAUUUGUUUUCUGUUAGAGUAGUUAGCGGCCUCGACGAGCUGGUCAUGGGAUGGCACAAAGCAAGGAGCGGGUCAAGGCCACAUUAGCCGGGGGACUAGCGCCACUUCUCUGUACUCUGAAUAAAUAGCGGAGAAAUACAGAUAAGCAGCAAAUGCGCUAAGCAAAAUCUCAUGUGUAUUUCCUGUGGUCAUCGCGAUCAAGCUGCAUACAGUCGUCUCCCUUAAAUUUACCAAGUUCAAGCUUUUGUUGAAGUGCAUUGCCAGCCUUUCCCAUCAGUUUAAACUCAACAGUUUAUUGGCCUAUGUAUGCUGUACAGGAAUCAUGUUUUAUGUAGACGCUCUAGGAUGUACACAAAAUGAACUGCUCUUAUUAUGCAGUGGUGGCACAACAACUGGCAAGGCAGGAAGCACCAAAACCAGCCCAAAAUUACAUGUUAGCGGCUAACUGGGGUCAACCAAUAUUAAAUACACUCAAGUUAAUAUUUGCAACAGUUAAGCUCAAGAGUGCAAAUUACAUAUGUAUAGAAGACAUAUCUUCCAAGGGUAUAUGCGUCCCACCAUUCCAUUUGAUCUGUUGGGCAAACAGCGUAAAGAACAAGCUAAUAUUUGGGAGUAAGUGGAAUAUUAUUAAUUCAUAGCAAAAUACCAUUCUUUGCUACGAACAAAAAAAUAACAUGUCCUUAAUGACUAAACAAGUGAUCCCCACUUUUUAUUUUCCUGGUGCUCCCAUACAGCCACGUCAUCCAAUUGUCUUCUAUUUGUCUCCUUGGAGCUUCCCACUUAACAGUACUAGUGAGUGUAGUAGUUUUGAAAUCCACUCUCUGUUAAUCAUUAUAUGUGCAUUUCCUUUGCCCCAUUAUUGUCCAUCACGUCCAAGCAAUUUGCAUAGCUUUUCUUUUCCCUUAGUUAGCAUCAACCCCAUCCUAGGAUGCUAUAAGGCUUCUAGUUCCACCUCUUUUAAUUCAGAUUUAUGGUCAGCCUCAUACGAGGCAUAUGUUGAGCAGAGUUUGAGGUAAUCUUUUUGGGAAAGCGAGGAAACUCGAAUGGGCUAGGAAGAGAGUGGAUAUCUUGUACAGAAGGAAUGAUAAUGAAGCACAUAUUGACAGGAAUAAAGCCCAAUGUGAGAUGGAUGAACUCCUCUGGAAAGAGGAGACGAUGUGGAGACAAAGAUCCAGAACUGAGUGACUUAAGUGUGGUGAUCGUAAUACCAACUAGUUUCACAGGAAAGCUUCUUGGAGGGACAAGAAAAAUAAAAUUGCUAUGUUGAAUAAACAAGAUGGUUCCUUCACAGAUAAGUUGGAUGAAAUGCACGUUUUCAUAAAUAUUUUCUUUCAACGGCUUUAUGCUCAUGACAGUAAUGUGGACCCAUUGCCUAAAAUAUCUCUUGUGCAGCCUAAAGUAAGCACUGAGAUGAAUGGCGGUUACAUGCUAACUGUUUACCAACCAGGAGAUUAGUGAUGCUCAUUUUCAGAUUGGUCUUCUCAAAGCUCCAGGCCUGGUGGUUUUUCGGCGAGAUUUUUUCAGCAGAAUUGGGCGAUUCCGAGGAAUGAUAUUUGUUAGGAAAUAUGCAACUUGUAUUCCCAUGAGACCAUAGGCCAGUAUAUAUAUACAUGUACAGGUGUAGGAUAUGCAAAAAGGCCCUUAUACAGUGGGGUAAAUACAAAAGGCUACAUGGCUAUAUAAGUACUCUAACAACCCCCCCCCCCCCACCCCCCACCCCCCUUACGAAUGGGCUAGGAAGAGAGUGGAUGUCUUGCACAGAAGGAAUGAUAAUGAAGCACAUAUUGACAGGAAGAAAGUCCAAUGUGAAAUGGAUGAACUCCUCUUGAAAGAGGAGACGACGUGGAGACAAAGAUCCAGAACUGAGUGACGUGAUCGUAAUAUGUAGUUUCACAGGAAAGCUUCUUGGAGGGCCAAGAAAAAUAAAAUUGCUAUGUUGAAUAAACAAGAUGGUUCCUUCCCAGAUAAGUUGGAUGAAAUGCACGUUUUCAUAAAUAUUUUCUUUCAACGGCUUUAUGCUCAUGACAGUAAUGUGGACCCAUCGCCUAAAAUAUCUCUUGUCCAGCCUAAAGUAAGCACUGACAUGAAUGGCGGUUCUAUGCUAACUGUUUACCAACCAGGAGAUUAGUGAUGCUCAUUUUCAGAUUGGUCUUCACAAAGCUCCAGGCCUGGUGGUUUUUCGGCGAGAUUUUUUCAGCAGAAUUGGGCGAUUCCGAGGGAUGAUAUUGUUAGGAAAUAUGCAAUUUGUAUUCCCAUGAGGCCAUAGGCCAGUAUAUAUACAUGUACAGGUGUAGGAUAUGCAAAAAGCCCCUUAUACAAUGGGGUAAAUACAAAAGGCUACAUAGGCCAGUAUAUAUACAUGUACAGGUGUAGGAUAUGCAAAAAGCCCCUUAUACAAUGGGGUAAAUACAAAAGGCUACAUGGCUAUAUAAGUGCUCCAACAACCCCCGCCCCCCACCCUCCCUUACGAAUGGGCUAGGAAGAGAAUGGAUAUCUUGCACAGAAGGAAUGAUAAUGAAGCACAUAUUGACAGGAAGAAAGUCCAAUGUGAGAUGGAUGAACUCCUCUUGAAAGAGGAGACGAUGUGGAAGAAAAAGAUCCAGAAUUGAGUGACUUAAGUGUGGUGAUCGUAAUACCAACUAGUUUCACAGGAAAGCUUCUUGGAGGGCCAAGAAAAAUAAAAUUGCUAUGUUGAAUAAACAAGAUGGUUCCUUCACAGAUAAGUUGGAUGAAAUGCACGUUUUCAUAAAUAUUUUCUUUCAACGGCUUUAUGCUCAUGACAGUAAUGUGGACCCAUUGCCUAAAAUAUCUCUUGUGCAGCCUAAAGUAAGCACUGAGAUGAAUGGCGGUUACAUGCUAACUGUUUACCAACCAGGAGAUUAGUGAUGCUCAUUUUCAGAUUGGUCUUCUCAAAGCUCCAGGCCUGGUGGUUUUUCGGCGAGAUUUUUUCAGCAGAAUUGGGCGAUUCCGAGGAAUGAUAUUUGUUAGGAAAUAUGCAACUUGUAUUCCCAUGAGACCAUAGGCCAGUAUAUAUAUACAUGUACAGGUGUAGGAUAUGCAAAAAGGCCCUUAUACAGUGGGGUAAAUACAAAAGGCUACAUGGCUAUAUAAGUACUCUAACAACCCCCCCCCCCCCACCCCCCACCCCCCUUACGAAUGGGCUAGGAAGAGAGUGGAUGUCUUGCACAGAAGGAAUGAUAAUGAAGCACAUAUUGACAGGAAGAAAGUCCAAUGUGAAAUGGAUGAACUCCUCUUGAAAGAGGAGACGACGUGGAGACAAAGAUCCAGAACUGAGUGACGUGAUCGUAAUAUGUAGUUUCACAGGAAAGCUUCUUGGAGGGCCAAGAAAAAUAAAA